Molecule: ribosomal RNA, 254 nt
Filed under: uncultured bacterium
Lineage: Bacteria
Description: partial 16S ribosomal RNA
Rfam family: Bacterial small subunit ribosomal RNA
Source: RNAcentral
UACGUAGGCAGCGAGCGUUGUUCGGAGUUACUGGGCGUAAAGCGUGCGUAGGCGGUGUCUUAAGUUUGUUGUGAAAUCUCCCGGCUUAACCGGGAGGGUGCGGCGAAUACUGAGAUGCUGGAGUGCCGGAGAGGUAAGCGGAAUUCCUGGUGUAGCGGUGAAAUGCGUAGAUAUCAGGAGGAACACCUGCGGUGUAGACGGCUUACUGGACGGUAACUGACGCUGAGGCACGAAAAGCGUGGGUAGCAAACAGG